UACGUAGGGUGCGAGCGUUGUCCGGAAUUAUUGGGCGUAAAGGGCUCGUAGGCGGUUUGUCGCGUCGGGAGUGAAAUCCACUGGCUUAACUGGUGGCUUGCUUUCGAUACGGGCAGACUGGAGGUAUGCAGGGGAGAACGGAAUUCCUGGUGUAGCGGUGAAAUGCGCAGAUAUCAGGAGGAACACCGGUGGCGAAGGCGGGACUCUGGGCCGAUACUGACGCUGGAGGAGCGAAAGCGUGGGGAGCGAACAGG
Molecule: ribosomal RNA, 254 nt
Filed under: uncultured bacterium
Lineage: Bacteria
Description: partial 16S ribosomal RNA
Rfam family: Bacterial small subunit ribosomal RNA
Source: RNAcentral